RNAcentral lists this non-coding RNA (142 nucleotides) under Mycobacterium sp. The record is from RNAcentral. Lineage: Bacteria; Bacillati; Actinomycetota; Actinomycetes; Mycobacteriales; Mycobacteriaceae.
GUCUAGGGUCAGCAGUGCCGGUCGACGACCGGCUCCGAUGGUCGAGCAGGAAGCCGGUGCGAGUCCGGCGCGGUCCCGCCACUGUGACCGGAGCGUGCGAACGUUCCGGGAGUCAGAUACUGCCCCCACCGGAACCUCGCUU